AUUGAACGCUGGCGGCAUGCCUAACACAUGCAAGUCGAACGGAAACGAUGGGAGCUUGCUCCCAGGCGUCGAGUGGCGGACGGGUGAGUAAUACUUAGGAAUCUGCCCAGUAGUGGGGGACGAACUCGGGGAAACUCGAGCUAAUACCGCAUACGCCCUACGGGGGAAAGCGGGGGAUCUUCGGACCUCGCGCUAUUGGAUGAGCCUAAGUCGGAUUAGCUUGUUGGUAGGGUAACGGCCUACCAAGGCGACGAUCCGUAGCUGGUCUGAGAGGACGAUCAGCCACACUGGGACUGAGACACGGCCCAGACUCCUACGGGAGGCAGCAGUGGGGAAUAUUGGACAAUGGGCGCAAGCCUGAUCCAGCAAUGCCGCGUGUGUGAAGAAGGCCUGCGGGUUGUAAAGCACUUUCAGUAGUGAAGAAAAGCCUAGGGUUAAUACCCCUGAGUCUUGACGUUAACUACAGAAGAAGCACCGGCUAACUCCGUG
RNAcentral lists this ribosomal RNA (489 nucleotides) under uncultured bacterium. Its description in RNAcentral is "bacterial SSU rRNA". It matches the Rfam family "Bacterial small subunit ribosomal RNA", at positions 30 to 507 of the family's 1533-position model. The record is from RNAcentral.